This 319-nucleotide ribosomal RNA is filed under the name Salmonella enterica. RNAcentral describes it as "bacterial SSU rRNA". It matches the Rfam family "Bacterial small subunit ribosomal RNA", at positions 1 to 316 of the family's 1533-position model. Lineage: Bacteria; Pseudomonadati; Pseudomonadota; Gammaproteobacteria; Enterobacterales; Enterobacteriaceae. The record is from RNAcentral. RNAcentral also lists the same sequence under 1 other name.
AAAUUGAAGAGUUUGAUCAUGGCUCAGAUUGAACGCUGGCGGCAGGCCUAACACAUGCAAGUCGAACGGUAACAGGAAGCAGCUUGCUGCUUCGCUGACGAGUGGCGGACGGGUGAGUAAUGUCUGGGAAACUGCCUGAUGGAGGGGGAUAACUACUGGAAACGGUGGCUAAUACCGCAUAACGUCGCAAGACCAAAGAGGGGGACCUUCGGGCCUCUUGCCAUCAGAUGUGCCCAGAUGGGAUUAGCUUGUUGGUGAGGUAACGGCUCACCAAGGCGACGAUCCCUAGCUGGUCUGAGAGGAUGACCAGCCACACUGG